Molecule: long non-coding RNA, 1970 nt
Filed under: Heterocephalus glaber (naked mole-rat)
Lineage: Eukaryota; Metazoa; Chordata; Mammalia; Rodentia; Bathyergidae
Description: lncRNA (ENSHGLG00100043109.1)
Source: RNAcentral
GUCAGUUCACUGAGUCACUUCUGCAGCCAGUUCUGCUGCUUUCCAGUCCCUCUGUGUCCUCAGUGUCGAACACUCCCCUGCGCACAGCCAUGAAGUUUUCAAAGGGAUUGAACUCAGGACCUUGCACUUGCGAGGCGGGUGCUGUGCCACUGAGCUAAAUCCCCAGCCCAAAGAGGUCAUAAUGAGCUCACUAGGGUCAUGAAAACUCACUCACUCCUAGAGUGAGUGAAGCCAAAGACAAAUCCAAAAGACCUGUGGAUGUCGUGGAAAUUUGAGAUCUCGUUUGCCUUGUCCUCUUCCCAAUCCUUUGAGGGGCAGCUUGGAGAGAAUUUUGAACUCACAGGUGAGUGUCUUUCUUUCUUAAUUGUAAAUAAAUAAAUGCAUUUUUCUAGUGCAUAGUGUGCACAUUUAGACUCCUAAAGGGAGUAUCACAGAUGUUAGAAAUAACUUGUCAUCAUUUACAGUUUUAAUGACCAUUCCUUCUUGAAAUAGCUUCCCUAUAAACUUUAUCUAUUUUUUGAGGGUAUUAUGUUCUUCCCAAGGCCUCCAGCACUUUUGUGGCUUUGUAAAGGUGGAGUAAAAUUUUCUCUCCCUUUUAAUAAUACUCCUUGCGUCAUUACAGGUAAGUUCUUUAUCCUUGGUUCUUUAUCUAUUAACGUUUUGCAGUGAAAGAAAAUUGAGUCUAAGAUUUUAUUUUCCUUCUUAUUACAGAAAUCCUGCAGCUCUGAGCUGAUUUUCAUGGUGGGAUGUUUUAUGCAGCAUUAAUCUUGUGUCCGAUUUCUCCUGGGUCACUGUGUGUGGACAGAACUUGCUAACCUUUCUGGCUUCAGGUGGAUGCAUGAGGCUGUGGGUUCCCAACUGCAGAUUAGAGGCAUUCAUGAGUGAGGGGUUCCUGGGGUCCUCAUUUCUGAUUUGGGGAUUGCUUGGGGGCCUUAGGGUCAAGAUGAAUUGAGGUAGAAGAAUGACUCUGCUGGACUGAAUGAAGGGAUCCCAUAGUCUAACUGUUCAGAAAAGCAUCCUAGUGGGUAGAAAGUCUGGAUUCUUUUAAGAGCAUGUUUGAGAAUAUAAUCUGAUCAAUAAGUGUGCUUGUUUAUCGUUUCACCUGCAUAAAGCCGAGAGGGAAAACAGACAUGCAGUUGCUCCAUGUUUAUAAAUCCUUAGAUUGACUCCAACAGCAGACCCAGAUGGAGGCCCAUCAGGCCCUAGGUGGUCAGACAUCUCUGCUCUGCACCUGUAAUGUGAGACGGGAUCAAUAUUAAAUGGUAAAAUAAGUGUGGCAAACUCAAAGGAGUCCUGAACUUUUUUCCAGAAUGACUAUAUAAAAUUAUUUUUAUUAGAAAAAUGAAGUCAUUUAAUAAUACAUGGGAGAAAGGUGCCAAGUUCAUUGCUUUGCUCUGAGAUAUGUACAGUACCAAGUUCAUUCGGGCCCAUUCCUCGGUAAGCAGAGCCCCUCUAAGAGGAGCGGGUACUCCUUUCCCUAAGAGACGCAUGGGUGGAGUCCCCGGGGGCAAAGGGGGUACUGGGACAACAGCAAAGUGACUGUCACCUGGUGACCCAUUCGGAAAUUGGAAUAAUAUCGUCCUUGGGGGUCACCACUCCCCCUUCCUGCCCUCUGGGUGCAACCUUAGGGAUAUGAUAGAAGUUUAGAGUUGGAGUAACACAGAAGCAAGCCACAUCCAGUGUCUCCAGUUGACAGAUGGAGUGGGGACCAUAAGAAGUUAAAGAGCCACAGGGAGCAGGUAUGUUGCUGGCCUGUGGCUGGUGUGUAAGGGUAUGAGGACCCCCUUGAAACCAGCCACGGAGCAUUUAUGGGACACUGAAGUUUGCUAGCUAUGUGAUGAGGGGCAGAGUACCACCUUGCCCAGCCUCAGUUCCCUCCUGUGUGGUGAGAUUCCAACCCCUCCUGGGGUUGCUGGGGUGACUGAAUGGCAUCAUGAGGCAGCCCAUCUGAUGACAAAUGACUAGUCAAG